Molecule: small nuclear RNA, 100 nt
Organism: Erinaceus europaeus (western European hedgehog)
Lineage: Eukaryota; Metazoa; Chordata; Mammalia; Eulipotyphla; Erinaceidae
Source: Ensembl
UUGCUUCAGGCAGCACAUAUACUAAAUUUAGAGUGAGACAAGAUUAGAAUGUCCCCUGCAUGCGGAUGACACACAAAUUCAUGAAGCUUUGCGUACUCUC